CAAAUCCGGUCCUUUCCACCAUCGAGAACAAUCCAUGCCUUCAUUAUUCUAUUUCCUUCUUUCUCCCUCUCGCAGCUCCCACAUCAAAACCUCCCCCUCCUAAUCUCAAAUCCGGCCAGCUUCACCGCCACCGCGUUCUCUUGGUCUAGCGCUGAAAUCGAAGAAUCAUGAGUUACCUAUUGACGACACUGACGAAGAAGCAAGAGGUGGAUUCGAUCAUCAGAUCCACCAUCGACAAGGUCCUCGUCCUCCGCUUCGGCCGCGCUUCCGAUUCCGUCUCUCUUCUUCUCGACGACGUUCUCGCCAAAUCAGCCCGCGACGUCUCCAAGUUCGCAACCGUGGCACUCGUCGAUGUCGAUUCCGACGACGUUCAGGUCUACCUCCAUUACUUCGACAUCACUCUGAUUCCGUCCACCAUUUUCUUCUUCAACGCCCAUCACAUCAAGAUGGAUUCCGGAACUGCUGAUCACACCAAAUGGAUCGGCGCGUUUCGGUCGAAGCAGGACUUCAUCGAUGUUGUCGAGGCUAUUUUCAGAGGAGCGAUGAAAGGGAAGCUAAUUGUGAACUGCCCCUUGCCGCCGGAACGAAUUCCGAGAUACCAGUUGUACUAUAAAGAUGUCUAGAAGUUGCCAAAGUGUGAUGAACUAGAGGUAUGCUUUACUCGGUUUGCCUGAGGCAUGUCAAUCUUGGCUAAGUGUGCUUUAUAAUUUUGUAUUAUUGAGAUAAUGUGCAUUGUACAAUUAGAAGCUCAUUGCAUGAUUGGGUGGUAGAAGUGAAUGGAUCACUUGCUUUGAUUAACUAUUUCGGGAUUAGGGGAUAUGGGAUAAUUUUGUUGGGAGUUAUCUGUGGCAAUAUUAUGUUAGUUCUUUGGUAGAAGACAAAUUAGAUCUUUUACUAGAGAUUUGUACGAGUAAUUGAGAGGAUGAAUCUGUUGAUCGCUAGGGAGCUGGAGCAUCCUUUUCUCUCUAUCUCAUGUGCGCGUAUGAGGCUAGCGCGUUUAAACCAUCAAUUCUACAAAUUGAUGAAGUUGGCAUUUUGUUUCGUUUGACGAUUCUUUAUACUUGUAAAGUUGUAACACGGAUGAUAUCUGUGGAUCUAUAUUACAUAUUACAUUAAUAAGAAACAGGCUGGUAGUAAAGAAGAAAGGGGUACAAAACUCUUUGAAUAGAUUUACCAAAAAGAGAGAGAUCCAUAAGUCUCAGUAGCUAGUUUUCCAAAUGCUCCACCGUACUGACUUUCCUGAAGUCUUAGGGUUCAUGUAACAUUUUUUUUUCUAGGAAUAUCUAUACUAUCUUAAGAGGACAUGGCUGGUUUAUGGCAUAAAAUUGCACCGCCAUGGUGUCCUUAUCAUUUUUCUCCUCAUCUGUAUAUACAACAAUUUCAGUCUCUAGAAAUAUUAUUCAAUUGUUACAUGAGCAAGCAAAGUAUGAAGAAUUGAAAUUCAUUCUAGUAACUAAGGUUUGAUUCACCUUAAUUGGCACAAGGGUGGAAUUGGUGUGCUCAUUUGAAGUGGGUUUAGUUGUAUACUCAAUAUUUGGAACUACUCUACCAACGACAUAACUGUUGCUUUUUUGACCGAAGAUAAUGUUUUAAUUCUCACCAAUACAACCACAGGUAACCUGGUUGUAGCGUGCAAAUACCAAAAUACCAGUUAUUUUAUAAGGAUGUGUAGAAGUUGUAGUCUGUAAAAGUUGGAUGAACUUCUGAGGUUAUACUUACUUUAUUAUGAGAAAUGUAUUUGAGAGUUUUAUGGCUCAGCCUUUUUACUUUGGUUCUCUUUGCUUUUGUUGAAUGGGUGGAAGUUUUCACCUGAUUAUUACCAAUUAGGAUUCUUGUAGUUCAUGCUAUUUCCAGGGAAAGAAGAGGAAGUUGAAGAAGAAUGAGUAGGUAUGGAUUGAAAGUCACAAAACAGGAGAGAAGGACUCUGAAAAGAGAGAGGGUCCUCCUGGACACACAAAAGCUCAAGAUUUUGCAUCUCUAACCUCACAUGAAGCUGGGUUUUGUUCGUAUGAGGUCCUUACAUAAGAUGGAUUCAGGAACAGCUGAUUACAGUAAAUGGGUCAGUGUGUUUCACACAAAUCACAACUUCAUUGAUGUUUUUGAGUCGGUUUUCAAAUGAGAAAUGGAAGGCAAGCUAAUUGUGAAUUUCUCCUUGCCACCGGAAUGGAUUCCUGAGAACCAACAUUUGUACUUGUAGUAGUAGUUGAGAGAAUAUUCGAUUAACUUCUAAGAUUGUACUUUUGUUAAUAUGAAAACAUAUUUGGAAGUUUUAUUGCUUAA
This is an RNA transcript of Rosa chinensis, 2280 nucleotides long. It is a transcript of the gene named thioredoxin-like protein 4B, with no coding region annotated. The transcript has 2 exons. The record is from RefSeq and is a predicted model, not a curated record. Lineage: Eukaryota; Viridiplantae; Streptophyta; Magnoliopsida; Rosales; Rosaceae.